UGGGGAAUAUUGGACAAUGGGCGCAAGCCUGAUCCAGCCAUGCCGCGUGUGUGAAGAAGGCCUUUUGGUUGUAAAGCACUUUAAGCGAGGAGGAGGCUACUUGGAUUAAUACUCUAGGAUAGUGGACAUUACUCGCAGAAUAAGCACCGGCUAACUCUGUGCCAGCAGCCGCGGUAAUACAGAGGGUGCGAGCGUUAAUCGGAUUUACUGGGCGUAAAGCGUGCGUAGGCGGCUUUUUAAGUCGGAUGUGAAAUCCCUGAGCUUAACUUAGGAAUUGCAUUCGAUACUGGGAAGCUAGAGUAUGGGAGAGGAUGGUAGAAUUCCAGGUGUAGCGGUGAAAUGCGUAGAGAUCUGGAGGAAUACCGAUGGCGAAGGCAGCCAUCUGGCCUAAUACUGACGCUGAGGUACGAAAGCAUGGGGAGCAAACAGG
Molecule: ribosomal RNA, 430 nt
Filed under: Bacillota bacterium
Lineage: Bacteria; Bacillati; Bacillota
Description: Firmicutes bacterium partial 16S ribosomal RNA
Rfam family: Bacterial small subunit ribosomal RNA
Source: RNAcentral